Molecule: long non-coding RNA, 1754 nt
Filed under: Heterocephalus glaber (naked mole-rat)
Lineage: Eukaryota; Metazoa; Chordata; Mammalia; Rodentia; Bathyergidae
Description: lncRNA (ENSHGLG00100035546.1)
Source: RNAcentral
CAAGUUAAAAGGAGAUCAUUAGGAUGAAUCUUAAUCUGUUCUGAUUAGUGUCCUUGGAAUAUGAGGAAAUGUAUUUAUGUUUUAGAAUAUAUAUUUUUAUAAAAUGAACUGUGACAAAGACAUUUGUAGUGGAGAAAAGGCUGGCAAAAAUGCUCACACACUCCUGCACUCGAGGUGAAAAAUAAUUACACUUGUGGCCUUUGCAUCUGGCUCAGCUCCAGAACUUGGUAUAUUCACAUCACUGUAAAAUGAGGAAAUCCAGAUGCUUACACCUCGAGGGAAGAGCGAGGAGACGCAGGGGAAGAUAGUGAUCAAAGCCAAGGAGAAAGAUCCCUGAAGGAGCCAGUCCCGCCACGCCCUGGCCAUGGAAUUCUGCCUCCCAGACCGUGAGCAAUACUGUUUGUUGUGUAAGUCGCACAGGCUUUGGUGCUUCAGCAGCAUCACUAGGGGACUAAGACACUGUCAUGUCUUCCACCACACUGGCUACAGCCUGUGCACCUUUCCUGGAGCCAAUGGUUGAAAGGUACUACACAGCAGGGCUGGGAGCGAGCCCGGAGCCUCUCCCCAGAUGCCCAGCCACGAAGCCGACAGAGACCCACAGCUGAAGGUCUCCCCAGAGCAGCACAUGCUCACCCACAUUCUGUCACCUUGGCCAGUUCCUCCCUGGGUUUGGGAGUCCAGCCUGUGCAUUCCUUCUUCGCACAGUGUAGGUCCCUGAGGGUAAGAGGACCACACUUUCUUACUUCCAUCCUUCAGCAGGCAUUUGGUGCAGUGUGGCAGUGCGCAGACCCGGGACUGUCCUAAAGCCAACUCACACUCUCCGUGUGUCAGGCAGAAGGAAUCCUUACAGUGACCUGCUUUGAGGUUGCAAAGUGGGGGCACCAUGGCAUGAACUGACACACUUCUUCAGCUACUGGCAGAGUUCCAACCUCAGAUUUGGGCGACCUGUGUAUUCGUCAGUUCUGAAGAUGGAAGCUAAUGUCUGGAGAGAGCUGAAGUAACCUGGAGAGGAUGUGCAGUGUGGGCAGGGAGGAAGUCUGCAGCCUGAAUCCACAGAUAGUGUCACCUCUGGGCUGUGCAGAAGAAAGAAACAACAGGAGAGAAGGAGGAGCAGUGGUAACAACUGUGGAGUUUCACAUGCCGAGCAAAAAGAGUUUCAUGAAGGAAAGUCAGAAUGGGAAAAUGACCCAUGAAGGGGAUUGCGAGAAAGAAGGAGUUGUGAAAUCCUCAGGUCAUUGGUUACCUUGGAGGGAGUGUUCACAACCACAUGGAUCUGUACAGAGUGCAGAGGUCAGAAAUGGCACAGCCUGUGGCCCUGUUGGGUGGAAAAGGAAGUGAGUUCACUGAGGGCGUGUCUUGAAAGGGAAUGAUGGGACCUCAUAUCUCCCUCUCUCUCUCUCUCUCUCUCUCUCUCUCUCUCUCUCUCUCCCUUUUUCCCUCUCCUACUCCUUCCCCCUUCCUUCCUGGCCACCAUGAGAUGAAGAGUCUUCCUCCACCUCAAGUUUCCACCAUGAUAUGUGAGGUUACCUCAGGGCCAAAGCUACAGAGCCAAGUGACCAUGAACUGAAGCACUGAAAUUGCUUGUUUUGUGUCUUGCCAUUUUAUCUAUCCUUGAGAAUGGUUCAUGUGCAGCUGAGAAAAUAUGUACCCUGCAGCUGUUGGAUGAGAAGUUCUACAAAUGUCUGCUCUUUCUAGGGCAUCUUUAAAACUCGUCUUAUGUUUGGAGCCCUCUCAGGCCUUCCAGGAAAACUUAC